This 253-nucleotide ribosomal RNA is filed under the name uncultured bacterium. RNAcentral's name for it is "partial 16S ribosomal RNA". It matches the Rfam family "Bacterial small subunit ribosomal RNA", at positions 524 to 776 of the family's 1533-position model. The record is from RNAcentral.
UACGUAGGGGGCAAGCGUUGUCCGGAUUUAUUGGGCGUAAAGAGCUCGUAGGCGGUUUGGUAAGUCGGGUGUGAAAUCUCGGAGCUUAACUCCGAAACUGCAUUCGAUACUGCCGUGCUUGAGGACUGGAGAGGAGACUGGAAUUUACGGUGUAGCAGUGAAAUGCGUAGAGAUCGUAAGGAAGACCAGUGGCGAAGGCGGGUCUCUGGACAGUUCCUGACACUGAGGCACGAAGGCCAGGGGAGCAAACGGG